GGGUUGUGAGGUUAAGCGACUAAGCGUACACGGUGGAUGCCCUGGCAGUCAGAGGCGAUGAAGGACGUGCUAAUCUGCGAUAAGCGUCGGUAAGGUGAUAUGAACCGUUAUAACCGGCGAUUUCCGAAUGGGGAAACCCAGUGUGUUUCGACACACUAUCAUUAACUGAAUCCAUAGGUUAAUGAGGCGAACCGGGGGAACUGAAACAUCUAAGUACCCCGAGGAAAAGAAAUCAACCGAGAUUCCCCCAGUAGCGGCGAGCGAACGGGGAGGAGCCCAGAGUCUGAAUCAGUGUGUGUGUUAGUGGAAGCGUCUGGAAAGGCGCGCGAUACAGGGUGACAGCCCCGUACACAAAAAUGCACAUGCUGUGAGCUCGAUGAGUAGGGCGGGACACGUGGUAUCCUGUCUGAAUAUGGGGGGACCAUCCUCCAAGGCUAAAUACUCCUGACUGACCGAUAGUGAACCAGUACCGUGAGGGAAAGGCGAAAAGAACCCCGGCGAGGGGAGUGAAAAAGAACCUGAAACCGUGUACGUACAAGCAGUGGGAGCACGCUUAGGCGUGUGACUGCGUACCUUUUGUAUAAUGGGUCAGCGACUUAUAUUCUGUAGCAAGGUUAACCGAAUAGGGGAGCCGAAGGGAAACCGAGUCUUAACUGGGCGUUAAGUUGCAGGGUAUAGACCCGAAACCCGGUGAUCUAGCCAUGGGCAGGUUGAAGGUUGGGUAACACUAACUGGAGGACCGAACCGACUAAUGUUGAAAAAUUAGCGGAUGACUUGUGGCUGGGGGUGAAAGGCCAAUCAAACCGGGAGAUAGCUGGUUCUCCCCGAAAGCUAUUUAGGUAGCGCCUCGUGAAUUCAUCUCCGGGGGUAGAGCACUGUUUCGGCAAGGGGGUCAUCCCGACUUACCAACCCGAUGCAAACUGCGAAUACCGGAGAAUGUUAUCACGGGAGACACACGGCGGGUGCUAACGUCCGUCGUGAAGAGGGAAACAACCCAGACCGCCAGCUAAGGUCCCAAAGUCAUGGUUAAGUGGGAAACGAUGUGGGAAGGCCCAGACAGCCAGGAUGUUGGCUUAGAAGCAGCCAUCAUUUAAAGAAAGCGUAAUAGCUCACUGGUCGAGUCGGCCUGCGCGGAAGAUGUAACGGGGCUAAACCAUGCACCGAAGCUGCGGCAGCGACACUAUGUGUUGUUGGGUAGGGGAGCGUUCUGUAAGCCUGUGAAGGUGUGCUGUGAGGCAUGCUGGAGGUAUCAGAAGUGCGAAUGCUGACAUAAGUAACGAUAAAGCGGGUGAAAAGCCCGCUCGCCGGAAGACCAAGGGUUCCUGUCCAACGUUAAUCGGGGCAGGGUGAGUCGACCCCUAAGGCGAGGCCGAAAGGCGUAGUCGAUGGGAAACAGGUUAAUAUUCCUGUACUUGGUGUUACUGCGAAGGGGGGACGGAGAAGGCUAUGUUGGCCGGGCGACGGUUGUCCCGGUUUAAGCGUGUAGGCUGGUUUUCCAGGCAAAUCCGGAAAAUCAAGGCUGAGGCGUGAUGACGAGGCACUACGGUGCUGAAGCAACAAAUGCCCUGCUUCCAGGAAAAGCCUCUAAGCAUCAGGUAACAUCAAAUCGUACCCCAAACCGACACAGGUGGUCAGGUAGAGAAUACCAAGGCGCUUGAGAGAACUCGGGUGAAGGAACUAGGCAAAAUGGUGCCGUAACUUCGGGAGAAGGCACGCUGAUAUGUAGGUGAAGUCCCUUGCGGAUGGAGCUGAAAUCAGUCGAAGAUACCAGCUGGCUGCAACUGUUUAUUAAAAACACAGCACUGUGCAAACACGAAAGUGGACGUAUACGGUGUGACGCCUGCCCGGUGCCGGAAGGUUAAUUGAUGGGGUCAGCGCAAGCGAAGCUCUUGAUCGAAGCCCCGGUAAACGGCGGCCGUAACUAUAACGGUCCUAAGGUAGCGAAAUUCCUUGUCGGGUAAGUUCCGACCUGCACGAAUGGCGUAAUGAUGGCCAGGCUGUCUCCACCCGAGACUCAGUGAAAUUGAACUCGCUGUGAAGAUGCAGUGUACCCGCGGCAAGACGGAAAGACCCCGUGAACCUUUACUAUAGCUUGACACUGAACAUUGAGCCUUGAUGUGUAGGAUAGGUGGGAGGCUUGGAAGUGUGGACGCCAGUCUGCAUGGAGCCGACCUUGAAAUACCACCCUUUAAUGUUUGAUGUUCUAACGUUGACCCGUAAUCCGGGUUGCGGACAGUGUCUGGUGGGUAGUUUGACUGGGGCGGUCUCCUCCUAAAGAGUAACGGAGGAGCACGAAGGUUGGCUAAUCCUGGUCGGACAUCAGGAGGUUAGUGCAAUGGCAUAAGCCAGCUUGACUGCGAGCGUGACGGCGCGAGCAGGUGCGAAAGCAGGUCAUAGUGAUCCGGUGGUUCUGAAUGGAAGGGCCAUCGCUCAACGGAUAAAAGGUACUCCGGGGAUAACAGGCUGAUACCGCCCAAGAGUUCAUAUCGACGGCGGUGUUUGGCACCUCGAUGUCGGCUCAUCACAUCCUGGGGCUGAAGUAGGUCCCAAGGGUAUGGCUGUUCGCCAUUUAAAGUGGUACGCGAGCUGGGUUUAGAACGUCGUGAGACAGUUCGGUCCCUAUCUGCCGUGGGCGCUGGAGAACUGAGGGGGGCUGCUCCUAGUACGAGAGGACCGGAGUGGACGCAUCACUGGUGUUCGGGUUGUCAUGCCAAUGGCACUGCCCGGUAGCUAAAUGCGGAAGAGAUAAGUGCUGAAAGCAUCUAAGCACGAAACUUGCCCCGAGAUGAGUUCUCCCUGACCCUUUAAGGGUCCUGAAGGAACGUUGAAGACGACGACGUUGAUAGGCCGGGUGUGUAAGCGCAGCGAUGCGUUGAGCUAACCGGUACUAAUGAACCGUGAGGCUUAACCUUACAACGCCGAAG
RNAcentral lists this ribosomal RNA (2924 nucleotides) under Escherichia coli. RNAcentral's name for it is "partial 23S ribosomal RNA". It matches the Rfam family "Bacterial large subunit ribosomal RNA". The record is from RNAcentral. Lineage: Bacteria; Pseudomonadati; Pseudomonadota; Gammaproteobacteria; Enterobacterales; Enterobacteriaceae.